GUCCACGCCGUAAACGAUGGAUACUAGCUGUUGGGCGCAAGUUCAGUGGCUAAGCGAAAGUGAUAAGUAUCCCACCUGGGGAGUACGAACGCAAGUUUGAAACUCAAAGGAAUUGACGGGGGCCCGCACAAGCGGUGGAGCAUGUGGUUUAAUUCGAUGAUACGCGAGGAACCUUACCAAGGCUUAAAUGUAGAUUGACCAGUUUGGAAACAGACUUUUUCGCAAGACAAUUUACAAGGUGCUGCAUGGUUGUCGU
RNAcentral lists this ribosomal RNA (256 nucleotides) under uncultured bacterium. RNAcentral describes it as "partial 16S ribosomal RNA". It matches the Rfam family "Bacterial small subunit ribosomal RNA", at positions 793 to 1055 of the family's 1533-position model. The record is from RNAcentral.